AGAGUUUGAUCAUGGCUCAGAUUGAACGCUGGCGGCAUGCCUUACACAUGCAAGUCGAACGGCAGCACGGGAGUAAUCCUGGUGGCGAGUGGCGAACGGGUGAGUAAUAUAUCGGAACGUGCCCAGUCGUGGGGGAUAACGCAGCGAAAGCUGUGCUAAUACCGCAUACGAUCUCUGGAUGAAAGCGGGGGACUCGCAAGAGCCUCGCGCGAUUGGAGCGGCCGAUAUCAGAUUAGCUAGUUGGUGGGGUAAAAGCCCACCAAGGCGACGAUCUGUAGCUGGUCUGAGAGGACGACCAGCCACACUGGAACUGAGACACGGUCCAGACUCCUACGGGAGGCAGCAGUGGGGAAUUUUGGACAAUGGGCGCAAGCCUGAUCCAGCAAUGCCGCGUGCAGGAUGAAGGCCUUCGGGUUGUAAACUGCUUUUGUACGGAACGAAACGGCUCUUUCUAAUAAAGAGGGCUAAUGACGGUACCGUAAGAAUAAGCACCGGCUAACUACGUGCCAGCAGCCGCGGUAAUACGUAGGGUGCGAGCGUUAAUCGGAAUUACUGGGCGUAAAGCGUGCGCAGGCGGUGAUGUAAGACAGAUGUGAAAUCCCCGGGCUCAACCUGGGACCUGCAUUUGUGACUGCAUCGCUAGAGUACGGUAGAGGGGGAUGGAAUUCCGCGUGUAGCAGUGAAAUGCGUAGAUAUGCGGAGGAACACCGAUGGCGAAGCAAUCCCCUGGACCUGUACUGACGCUCAUGCACGAAAGCGUGGGGAGCAAACAGGAUUAGAUACCCUGGUAGUCCACGCCCUAAACGAUGUCAACUGGUUGUUGGGUCUUUACUGACUCAGUAACGAAGCUAACGCGUGAAGUUGACCGCCUGGGGAGUAGGCCGCAAGGUUGAAACUCAAAGGAAUUGAGGGACCCGCA
This 919-nucleotide ribosomal RNA is filed under the name uncultured bacterium. Its description in RNAcentral is "bacterial SSU rRNA". It matches the Rfam family "Bacterial small subunit ribosomal RNA", at positions 8 to 925 of the family's 1533-position model. The record is from RNAcentral.